GUUAAUGUAGCUUAUAGUAAAGCAAAGCACUGAAAA
Molecule: transfer RNA, 36 nt
Filed under: Rattus rattus (black rat)
Lineage: Eukaryota; Metazoa; Chordata; Mammalia; Rodentia; Muridae
Description: partial tRNA-Phe
Source: RNAcentral